Molecule: long non-coding RNA, 1548 nt
Organism: Triticum aestivum (bread wheat)
Lineage: Eukaryota; Viridiplantae; Streptophyta; Magnoliopsida; Poales; Poaceae
Exons: 3
Source: RefSeq, a predicted model, not a curated record
CGUCCGCACUCGUCGCUAUCCGCUCGCGUCCCCAUCCCCAUCCCCUCGCAUUUGUCGCCACCCCCGCCCCAACAUGCGCCGGCCGCCGCCGCCGCCGACCCACCUCGCAUCGACCGAUGCGGCCGACGGCGGCCGCGGCAGCUUGGCUGCCACGCCUCCACGCCGCCGUCUCCCCGUCCGCCACCUCGCAUUCUCCUGUGAAUUGAGCCAUCGGUCCUCUGCCGCGACGCUCUCCCUCGCCUCGUUAAUUACUCACGGAAGGUGUCUUCCCUAUCCACGUUGCUUCAGCAAGCACUCACUCUAUGUUCGAGGAAUUGAAGAAAUUUCAAGGAGAAUGAAGCCUAUGCGUGUGGGUGGUCGCUGUUAUUCAUGAAGCUGUGCGUGUGAGCUACUGCUUCCAGCCCCAUCCUCUGUGGAGGCUUGCUGCCACCAGUGAAAAUGGUUGUAGAAGGGAGAUAAUUGUGGCCAUGGAGGAGAGGUAAGUUUCACGUUUUUUUCUUCGUGAUAUGCAUGUUUAGGUGUUCAUUAUAGUUUUCAAAAAGGCGUUUUGGGGAUAGAUUUGGUGUGGCCAGGUGUUGCGCGGGAGAACCACCACAUCGGAGUCGAGCAACCGCCAUCUUCAAUCCCCAUCUCCGGCGAACUUUCCCGCUCAACCCCUGCCUCUAAUCAGCUACUCUCCUCCAUCCCCGUCCCGGUCAUGGAGCCGGAGCAGCAAUAUGCUAGCUGCACGUCGACUACCGGAUAGUUGUUCAUCGACUGCUAGACAGUUGGCCAGGAUAGAAAAAGUUGCAUAUCUCACAGCUAGUGGUAGUUAGAGCGGUGAAAAACCCACAUCCGACUACUAGGCGGUGGUUGAGGUCUGACUGACAGAUCCACAACUUUUUUCCUUUAUUUUUUCUACACAAAGAAACCUGGGAUAUGAUUUUUUACACAGUCGCACAAGAACCAGCUAGGUGUUGGCAUCCUGAACUUUUAUAGUUGCACAAGAAUCAAUUAGGAGUUGGUAUCCUCAACUUUUUAAAUAGUUGCACAACAAUAUCAUACGAGUCGGCAUCCUCGACUUUCAUAGUUGCACCAGAACCAUUUGGGAGUUGGCAGUCUUAACUUUUUAAAUAGUCCCACAACAAUAUCACGUGAGUUGGCAUUAUCAACUUUUUAAAUAGCCCCACAACAAUAUCACAUGAGUUGGUAUCCACAACUAUUUUAGUUGCACAAGAACCAAUCAGGAGUUGGCAUCCCCAACUUUUUUAAUAGUUGGACAACAAUGCCACAUGAGUUGGCAUCUUCAACUUCUUUAGUUGCACAAGAACCAUUCAAUAGUUGGCAUCCUCAUGUGUUCACAUGCAUAAGAGUUUCUAGGUUUGCAUAUGCACUUGAAUGUAGUUGCAUGAUACGUCUCCAACGUAUCUAUAAUUUUUGAUUGUUCCAUACUAUUAUAUUAUCCAUCUUGGAUGUUUUAUAUGCAUUUAUAUGCUAUUUUAUAUGAUUUUUGGGACUAACCUAUUAACCUAAAGCCCAGUGCCAGUGCCAGUUUAUGUUUUUCCUUGU